GAGUUUACGCUCUACAACCCUUUGUGAACAUACCUAUAACUGUUGCUUCGGCGGGUAGGGUCUCCGUGACCCUCCCGGCCUCCCGCCCCCGGGCGGGUCGGCGCCCGCCGGAGGAUAACCAAACUCUGAUUUAACGACGUUUCUUCUGAGUGGUACAAGCAAAUAAUCAAAACUUUUAACAACGGAUCUCUUGGUUCUGGCAUCGAUGAAGAACGCAGCGAAAUGCGAUAAGUAAUGUGAAUUGCAGAAUUCAGUGAAUCAUCGAAUCUUUGAACGCACAUUGCGCCCGCCAGCAUUCUGGCGGGCAUGCCUGUUCGAGCGUCAUUUCAACCCUCAAGCUCUGCUUGGUGUUGGGGCCCUACAGCUGAUGUAGGCCCUCAAAGGUAGUGGCGGACCCUCCCGGAGCCUCCUUUGCGUAGUAACUUUACGUCUCGCACUGGGAUCCGGAGGGACUCUUGCCGUAAAACCCCCCAAUUUUCCAAAGGUUGACCUCGGAUCAGGUAGGAAUACCCGCUGAACUUAAGCAUAUCAAUAAGCGGAGGAAAAGAAACCAACAGGGAUUGCCUCAGUAACGGCGAGUGAAGCGGCAACAGCUCAAAUUUGAAAUCUGGCCCUAGGCCCGAGUUGUAAUUUGCAGAGGAUGCUUUUGGUGCGGUGCCUUCCAAGUUCCCUAGAACGGGACGCCAGAGAGGGUGAGAGCCCCGUACAGUUGGACACCAAGCCUUUGUAAAGCUCCUUCGACGAGUCGAGUAGUUUGGGAAUGCUGCUCAAAAUGGGAGGUAUAUUUCUUCUAAAGCUAAAUACCGGCCAGAGACCGAUAGCGCACAAGUAGAGUGAUCGAAAGAUGAAAAGCACUUUGAAAAGAGGGUUAAACAGCACGUGAAAUUGUUAAAAGGGAAGCGCUUGUGACCAGACUUGCGUCCGGUGAAUCACCCAGCUCUCGCGGCUGGGGCACUUCGCCGGCUCAGGCCAGCAUCAGCUCGCUGUCGGGGACAAAAGCUUCAGGAACGUAGCUCUCUUCGGGGAGUGUUAUAGCCUGUUGCAUAAUACCCUUCGGCGGGCUGAGGUACGC
RNAcentral lists this ribosomal RNA (1072 nucleotides) under fungal endophyte. RNAcentral's name for it is "eukaryotic LSU rRNA". The stretch from base 487 to 1072 matches the Rfam family "Eukaryotic large subunit ribosomal RNA", at positions 1 to 598 of the family's 3401-position model. Lineage: Eukaryota; Fungi. The record is from RNAcentral.